Molecule: long non-coding RNA, 1940 nt
Filed under: Anas platyrhynchos platyrhynchos (common mallard)
Lineage: Eukaryota; Metazoa; Chordata; Aves; Anseriformes; Anatidae
Description: lncRNA (ENSAPLG00000017519.1)
Source: RNAcentral
AUGUGGGGGCGUUUUGGGGUGCAGACGGUGACCCCCGCCUCCCCCGAGAGGCCCCCGGGUCCGCCCCGCCGCCAGGGCGCUGCGCGGCUCGCAGCCCGCCAAGUCUUACUCAUCCCCUUUUGGAAGGAAACUUCCUUCUUUCUCGCCCCCUCCGCCACCUCCCUUUUUCUUAAAAAAAAAAAAAAAAAAAAAAAAAAAAAAAAAAAAAAAAAAAAAAAAAAAAAAAAAAAAAAAAAGAAAAGAAAAAAAAAAAAAAAAAAAAAAAAAAAAAAAAAAAGAAAAAAAAAAAAAAAGAAGAAGAAAGAAAAUAAAGAGAAAAGAGGGAAAGAAAAAAAAAAAAAAAGGGAAAAAGAAAGGGAGGGUGGGGGGAGCACACAAGGGCGGAGGAGGCUGAGCACACGCUUUUCCCAGCGCAAGAAGAGACCUGGUGGCAGGAAAGGUUCCCUCCUAGCACUGCCGUCGCCCCUGCUACACGAGCGCUUUGUGUAUUUAGGGUCCGUACAAAGCAGCUUCCUCCCUUCUCCCUCCGGACCCCGUCGCAAACCAAGGUGCAGUUCUACCUUCCCGGCCAUUCAAUCCAACUGGCACCAAAAAACUUCUGCCAGGGCUCCCACCCCAAAAUCUUUUUUUCCUAGUUUUCUUUGUUCUCCCCUGCGCACGGAGGGGCUUUUGCGGGUCCCCGAGCAUCCCUUCUCCUCUCCCCCCGCGCGUCGCUGAACUUACCCCAGGUUGUUUAAAUUCGCCAAUCACCGCUAUUCUCUCCCGCUCAAGGUUUGCGGUUCAACUCUUUGUCCCUCUCCAGGUACCGCCGGACAAACGAUCGUCUUAAAUUUAACAAAGCUAGGUGUUUGCCGGCACCCGCGUGAAAAGGAGGGGGAGAGAGAAAAAGCGUAUUGAAAAGAGUUAUAGUUACCUUAAAAGGUAGCGUAUUGCAGAGAUUGCAAAAAAAUCACGGCGUGGCGGCUCGGCUAGUCCAGAGAUCCCAGUGGCCGCAUGAACGAGUUAAAAAAAAAAAAAAAUCCCCUUGGUGGUGGUGGAGCUGGAAGGAGGUGGCCGGCUCCGGGGUGCCCCCUGCUCCCCGAACACCUGCCUCCGAGCUGCGCCGAGUUGCACGGAGCUCGCCUGCAAGUUCAAAUGCGAGGCUCAGCCACCCAUCAUUAUUAUAUCAUUGUACUGCCAGCGCUGCAGAGGAGGGGCGCUGGCUCGGCGAGAGGAGGGUUCUCAGCCUCAGCCAGAGCCUCCCUCGCAAUCGCAGCGCUCCCGCAGCUGCUGGGAGCGGGAGAGACCCCAAAGCCCUCCCGCAAGGGGCUCCGCGACCCCCCCCUACAAACCCGCACCGCCCUCCGCGGGGAGUCCCCCGGGCAGCCCUUGGGGGUCCCGGCCCCCCGAAGUCACCCUCCCCCUCCCCCGGGGACCCCCGGACGGGUCCCUGCGCUCGGCGGCUUCAGCCCCGCGGAGAGGGGCACGCGGGUGCGGGAGGUGCAUUGUUCCCCAAUUAAACAAUUAACCGGGAAGAGAAUGGGGAGACCUCCUCCUCUCUGGCUCCCGAAGCCGCUUGCAAUGGGGAAAGUGGCUGGGACCGAGAUCCCUUUUUUCCCCCCUCUUUGCCUCCCCGACCUCAGCGGAGGCUGCAAUGAAAGAAUAUGUUGGUGAUUGUUCCAAACUUCCCCCGCCGCUGCCAAUUCACAGGCAGCCUUGCAUCGGCAGCCUCCCAAGCCAAGCUUCUCCACCCUAGUUUUACGCAUCUCCAGCCACUUUUCUUUUCUUUCUUUCUUUCCUUCCCCCCCCCCCCCCCCCCUUUUUUUUUUUUUCUCCUUGAGAUUAGGCUCUGCAUUUGCUGUCCAAACCUCUUGCAGAUGAAGUCAUAAGCAGAGCUCCAAAUCACCCUGUAACAGGGGACUUUCACCAAUUAAUAAAGGGUCUGGGGUGUUUCUCGGGCA